AGAGUUUGAUCCUGGCUCAGGACGAACGCUGGCGGCGCGCCUAACACAUGCAAGUCGAACGAGCGAGAGAGAGCUUGCUUUCUCGAGCGAGUGGCGAACGGGUGAGUAACGCGUGAGGAACCUGCCUCAAAGAGGGGGACAACAGUUGGAAACGACUGCUAAUACCGCAUAAGCCCACGGGUCGGCAUCGACCAGAGGGAAAAGGAGCAAUCCGCUUUGAGAUGGCCUCGCGUCCGAUUAGCUAGUUGGUGAGGUAAUGGCCCACCAAGGCGACGAUCGGUAGCCGGACUGAGAGGUUGAACGGCCACAUUGGGACUGAGACACGGCCCAGACUCCUACGGGAGGCAGCAGUGGGGAAUAUUGCACAAUGGGGGAAACCCUGAUGCAGCGACGCCGCGUGGAGGAAGAAGGUCUUCGGAUUGUAAACUCCUGUUGUUGGGGAAGAUAAUGACGGUACCCAACAAGGAAGUGACGGCUAACUACGUGCCAGCAGCCGCGGUAAAACGUAGGUCACAAGCGUUGUCCGGAAUUACUGGGUGUAAAGGGAGCGCAGGCGGGAAGAUAAGUUGGAAGUGAAAUCUAUGGGCUCAACCCAUAAACUGCUUUCAAAACUGUUUUUCUUGAGUAGUGCAGAGGUAGGCGGAAUUCCCGGUGUAGCGGUGGAAUGCGUAGAUAUCGGGAGGAACACCAGUGGCGAAGGCGGCCUACUGGGCACCAACUGACGCUGAGGCUCGAAAGUGUGGGUAGCAAACAGGAUUAGAUACCCUGGUAGUCCACACCGUAAACGAUGAUUACUAGGUGUUGGAGGAUUGACCCCUUCAGUGCCGCAGUUAACACAAUAAGUAAUCCACCUGAGGAGUACGCCGGCAACGGUGAAACUCAAAGGAAUUGACGGGGGCCCGCACAAGCGGAGGAACAUGUGGUUUAAUUCGAUGAUACGCGAGGAACCUUACCCGGGCUUGAAUUGCAGAGGAAGGAUUUGGAGACAAUGACGCCCUUCGGGGCCUCUGUGAAGGUGCUGCAUGGUUGUCGUCAGCCCGUGCCGUGAGGUGUCGGCUUAAGUGCCAUAACGAGCGCAACCCCCCUCCAUAGUUGCCAUCAGGUGAAGCUGGGCACUCUGUGGACACUGCCACCGUAAGGUGCGAGGAAGGUGGGGAUGACGUCAAAUCAGCACGGCCCUUACGUCCGGGGCUACACACGUGUUACAAUGGCAGGUACAGAGAGCCGGUCGUAUGCAAAUACGAUCCAAUCCUUAAAGCCUGUCUCAGUUCGGACUGGGGUCUGCAACCCGACCCCACGAAGCUGGAUUCGCUAGUAAUCGCGCAUCAGCCAUGGCGCGGUGAAUACGUUCCCGGGCCUUGUACACACCGCCCGUCAAGCCAUGAAAGCCGGGGGCGCCUGAAGUCCGUGACCGCAAGGAGCGGCCUAGGGCGAAACUGGUAAUUGGGGCUAAGUCGUAACAAGGUA
This 1467-nucleotide ribosomal RNA is filed under the name metagenome. Its description in RNAcentral is "bacterial SSU rRNA". It matches the Rfam family "Bacterial small subunit ribosomal RNA". The record is from RNAcentral.